AGUUUUAAGAUCAGAUCUUAUGCAUGUAUUUAUAGAUUAAAUAGUUUAAUCUAAUGUUCUUUCAUUAAAAAUUUUGAAAUGCAUGCAUAAAACCCCUACGCGAUCCAACUCACUCACAUCCUUAUAUUAGUGUCGCAACAUAAGUGGUUAUGAGAUUAACCACCCACACCAUUGAGCAUACAUAAGAUGUGCCAGCCUUAUCG
RNAcentral lists this long non-coding RNA (203 nucleotides) under Elaeis guineensis (African oil palm). RNAcentral describes it as "long non-coding RNA (EGUI_LNC064584)". The record is from RNAcentral. Lineage: Eukaryota; Viridiplantae; Streptophyta; Magnoliopsida; Arecales; Arecaceae.